AUCUCAAAUUUAAAUUUUAAAAAUUUAAAUAUAAUUUUAUAUUAAUUUUAUCUAAAUUUAAUACUAAUUUAUACCUAUAUCCUCUCAAAGAGGCAGGUCGAAUAUAAUUUUCGCCGAAUCGAGUUGAAAUUCCGAUCAUCAAAGAACAAGUGGACGCAACAGCGAGCUGUGCACCACCGGUCCCCAAACUUGACCCAUUCAGCUUACUAGACGUACGUGGCGAUAAGAGCAACGCACGUGGCGCUGUGAAUGCAGUAGUUGGACCGGCGACUUCCCCCUUUCCUCACCGUCUCGCCCCUCGCCGCCACCAUGAGUGCCUAUAUAUACAGAUAGAGCGAACUCCAAUUGUGCCGUGCAGCAACAGUGUCUCAAAUCAACCUUGGGAUUUAAUUUUCCGCUAAAGAAAGAGGAAUUUCAACACCAAUACCAAUACCAACAUGGAGAGGAAAUCGCUUGGGCUUUUCGUCCUGCUUCUCAUUGCCUUUGCCACUCAAGAUCAGAUGGUGGUGCCGGCGGAGGGGAGAGUGUGCGAGGCACCUAGCGGCAAAUUCAGUGGGCUAUGCUUCCUUGAAAAGAACUGCGUGGAUGUGUGCACGAAGAAGGAGAAACUUCUGGGCGGCUUUUGCAGAAAUGGGAUGUGUUACUGCAAGCAUUGCUAAUUAAUUAUUAAAAAAAUAAGUCCCACUCCCACUGGCUUACGCCAUACCCAUGCAUAUAUGUGCAUGUAAUACUGUCAUAUUUGUAGGUUGCUUAUACUCAUAAUCGGCCGCAUGUGAUAGAUAAAUAAAACGAGAUGGGAUCUUUGUACUGUUUAA
Malania oleifera is the source of this 815-nucleotide long non-coding RNA. RefSeq lists it as uncharacterized. NCBI's taxonomy places the organism in Eukaryota, Viridiplantae, Streptophyta, Magnoliopsida, Santalales, Ximeniaceae. The record is from RefSeq and is a predicted model, not a curated record. The transcript is spliced from 2 exons.